This 589-nucleotide ribosomal RNA is filed under the name uncultured bacterium. Its description in RNAcentral is "bacterial SSU rRNA". The stretch from base 1 to 525 matches the Rfam family "Bacterial small subunit ribosomal RNA", at positions 338 to 873 of the family's 1533-position model. The record is from RNAcentral.
CCUACGGGAGGCAGCAGUGGGGAAUAUUGCACAAUGGGCGCAAGCCUGAUGCAGCGACGCCGCGUGAGGGAUGACGGCCUUCGGGUUGUAAACCUCUUUCAGUAGGGAAGAAGCGAAAGUGACGGUACCUGCAGAAGAAGCGCCGGCUAACUACGUGCCAGCAGCCGCGGUAAUACGUAGGGCGCAAGCGUUAUCCGGAAUUAUUGGGCGUAAAGAGCUCGUAGGCGGUUUGUCGCGUCUGCCGUGAAAGUCCGGGGCUCAACUCCGGAUCUGCGGUGGGUACGGGCAGACUAGAGUGAUGUAGGGGAGACUGGAAUUCCUGGUGUAGCGGUGAAAUGCGCAGAUAUCAGGAGGAACACCGAUGGCGAAGGCAGGUCUCUGGGCAUUAACUGACGCUGAGGAGCGAAAGCAUGGGGAGCGAACAGGAUUAGAUACCCUGGUAGUCCAUGCCGUAAACGUUGGGCACUAGGUGUGGGGGACAUUCCACGUUUUCCGCGCCGUAGCUAACGCAUUAAGUGCCCCGCCUGNGAGACGCGCAGACGAACUAAUAGAUAGAGCGNGAGAGNGCGAGACGACGACGAGGGAGAGG